Molecule: ribosomal RNA, 250 nt
Filed under: uncultured bacterium
Lineage: Bacteria
Description: partial 16S ribosomal RNA
Rfam family: Bacterial small subunit ribosomal RNA
Source: RNAcentral
UACGGAGGGUGCAAGCGUUGUCCGGAUUUAUUGGGUUUAAAGGGUGCGUAGGCGGCUAUUUAAGUCAGUGGUGAAAUCCCUCAGCUUAACUGAGGAACUGCCAUUGAUACUGGAUGGCUUGAGUUAGGUAGAGGUAAGCGGAAUUGAAGGUGUAGCGGUGAAAUGCAUAGAUAUCUUCAAGAACCCCGAUAGCGAAGGCAGCUUACUGGACCUAUACUGACGCUGAGGCACGAAAGCAUGGGGAUCGAAC